AUACCAUGAGGACUCAUUGAGGUCAUUUAUGUCAGACUGCAUCCAGGAUUUUCUUGUAUUUUGCUGCAUUCAUUUUACCCUGAGCCCUCUCAAGCCCUCCACAGCCUGAAGCUGCCACCCACCUUGGUUCAUGGUGACAACGUUUUCUGUGGUGGCGAUCUGUUUCUCCACCAUCUAAUCA
Polypterus senegalus (gray bichir) is the source of this 181-nucleotide long non-coding RNA. RefSeq lists it as uncharacterized. The record is from RefSeq and is a predicted model, not a curated record. The transcript has 3 exons. NCBI's taxonomy places the organism in Eukaryota, Metazoa, Chordata, Cladistia, Polypteriformes, Polypteridae.